AAUUGCAUAAUCUCUUCUUUUAUGUUAUCUACUGAAGCAAAAUGAACAGCUGUAUAACUAGUACUUUCAGAAAACAUUUUUUUUGCUCAGUCGGUUAAUAUCGCAUCCCACCUUGUUCCGUAAGGUACUUGGGGCAACUCUGCAGAUAAGUGGUAUAAUAGAAUUUUGAAUACAGAUGGGACAAGAAGAAGAUGGUUAGAAACUAAGACAAAGCCAAGUGUAAAGUAGCACAUACACUUUUGUAUAACUUUUAGAAGUGGGAGAAAACUAUAGUGUUUUCAAAUGUUCCAACUUGAGAAGAAGAUUCACUAAGGGUUUUUAAUGACUCACACCAUCCUUUGCAAUUGUGCAGCGUAGUGUCUUUAAUAAAAAUCUGUUCUUACCUUUCCAAGGAAAAUAAUCUCACAUAUUGCCAGUCUACUUUGCUAGUUACUUGACUUGCUAACAGUUAUUACAUCAGCUUUAUCAAAAUGUAUUAAGCUA
RNAcentral lists this long non-coding RNA (483 nucleotides) under Bos taurus (domestic cattle). RNAcentral describes it as "long non-coding RNA NONBTAT015664". The record is from RNAcentral. Lineage: Eukaryota; Metazoa; Chordata; Mammalia; Artiodactyla; Bovidae.